Molecule: ribosomal RNA, 520 nt
Filed under: uncultured bacterium
Lineage: Bacteria
Description: bacterial SSU rRNA
Rfam family: Bacterial small subunit ribosomal RNA
Source: RNAcentral
AGGACGAACGCUGGCGGCGUGCCUAAUACAUGCAAGUCGAACGGUCUUUCUAUGGAAGCUUGCUCCACUGAGAAGAUAGUGGCGAACGGGUGAGUAACACGUGGGUAACCUGCCCAUAAGAGGGGGAUAACAUCCGGAAACGGGUGCUAAUACCGCAUAGUUUUCUUGAUCGCAUGAUCGGGAAAGGAAAGACGGCCUUUGUGCUGUCGCUUAUGGAUGGACCCGCGGCGUAUUAGUUAGUUGGUGAGGUAACGGCUCACCAAGACGAUGAUACGUAGCCGACCUGAGAGGGUGAUCGGCCACAUUGGGACUGAGACACGGCCCAAACUCCUACGGGAGGCAGCAGUAGGGAAUCUUCCGCAAUGGACGAAAGUCUGACGGAGCAACGCCGCGUGAGUGAAGAAAAGGGUUUUCGGAUCGUAAAACUCUGUUGUCAGAGAAGAACAAGUUGGAGAGUAACUGCUCCAGCCUUGACGGUAUCUGACCAGAAAGCCACGGCUAACUACGUGCCAGCAGCCGC